CCCUUGGAUACCAUGGACACUGAAAAAUGAGUAUUUAAAUGUGAAGAAAUGUUCUAUCAUGUAGUAUAAUGACUACUCAAUUUGGAAUCUAGUGCCAUUUGUUCCACUUACUAACAAUGUGAUUCUGGCUCAUUCUACAGAUGAAGAAACUGAGGCAAAUGAAGGUCACACAACAAUCAAGAGGGGAACAGACGGGACUAUUUCACUGACUGAAAGCACCAGCAUUUUUGCCUCUACCAAGAAUUCUUUGUACUAGUACACCAAAGGACAAAAAGCAAUGUUGGCCUUUGU
RNAcentral lists this long non-coding RNA (291 nucleotides) under Sarcophilus harrisii (Tasmanian devil). RNAcentral's name for it is "lncRNA (ENSSHAG00000031548.1)". Lineage: Eukaryota; Metazoa; Chordata; Mammalia; Dasyuromorphia; Dasyuridae. The record is from RNAcentral.